UCAAGAAAAUCCACUCACACAAUUAAUUAGCUCUUCUUCUCACAAAAAUCAGCUACUCAAAACUCUAUUAGCAUGGCUAAAAAAUGUCUAUCUCACAAACUCUCUUUCUUUUUUGUUGUUCUCCUUGUGACACUGACUGUUGAUUCAUUUUGGUCCUCAAACACUCAAGUGAUGGCUUUGCGAAACUUACCUUUAGAAAUAGCUUGAAUCUCAUAUUAUUAACGUAUUCUCUAUGGUCUUUUUAUUUUUAUCUGCUCCUUUUGAGCUUGUGUUAUUCGUAACAGUGUACGUUGUAAAAAAGAAGUGACUAUCUACCGUUCCAAAUAAAUUUGUAAUGGACAUCAACUACUAUUUGUGAUCUCCAUGUAUGACUAUGUAAAACUAAUAUUUAUGAUAUGUUUUUUUUUAUUUCCUUUA
Long non-coding RNA from Nicotiana tabacum (common tobacco), 417 nucleotides. RefSeq lists it as uncharacterized. Lineage: Eukaryota; Viridiplantae; Streptophyta; Magnoliopsida; Solanales; Solanaceae. The record is from RefSeq and is a predicted model, not a curated record.